UGUAUAGGGAAAACUGGUAAAAUGUGAUGUACCUAAUAGUAUUAGUGAUUAAUAUGAAAUUAACUAAGUUAAUUAAAAUUCGAAGUAGAUAUGUGAUUAUGACAAUAUUUGCUUAUAUCUUGACCAAGUCACGUGCCAGCAGUCGCGGUAAUACGUGGAAGAUCAGUGUUAUUCAUCUUUAAUAGGUUUAAAGGGUACCUAGACGGUUAAUUAAGCAUAUUUUUGUACUAAUUAUUAACUAGAGUUUAAUGUAAGAAGGAUUGAGUACGGUGAGUGUAGAGUUAAAAUUCAGUCAUACCACUUAGGAACUGGUAAAGGCGAAGGCAACCUUUUAUGUAAAAACUGACGUUAAGGGACGAAGGCUCGUAUUAAGCAAUAGGAUUAGAGACCCUAGUAUUGUGGGCAGACAAUGAUGAGUGUCAUAUGCAAGAAUUUUUUUUGUGUAUAAAUGAAAGUGUAAGCACUCCACCUCAAGAGUAACGUGGCAACAUGGGAACUGAAAUCAUUAGACCGUUUCUGAAACUCGUAGUGAAGUAUGUUGUUUAAUUUGAUAACCCUCAAAUAACCUUACCACAAUUUGUAUAACUAUUAAAAAUUAAUAACUAGUAACAAGCGUUGCACGGCUGUCUUCAGUUAAUGUUGUGAAACUUUGGUUAGAUCCAUCAAAUUGACGUAAACCCUUGCUUUAUUUAUUAUAAAGCAGUUCGCCGCUAUAUUGGUAGUGAUAUAAGGGACUAAGACAAGUCAUCAUGACCUAAACAUUGUGGGCUAUAGACGUGCCACAUUACCCUUAACAAAAAGAGGCAAAA
Molecule: ribosomal RNA, 809 nt
Filed under: Phaeographis sp. Lumbsch 19127h
Lineage: Eukaryota; Fungi; Ascomycota; Lecanoromycetes; Ostropales; Graphidaceae
Description: SSU rRNA
Rfam family: Bacterial small subunit ribosomal RNA
Source: RNAcentral